AUCGUAACUAUCGAUUAGCUCCUUGCGGUCCGCUGCAUGAAAGUAGCGGCCGGCUGUGGUGGAUGCCACCACCUGGAGCGCUUCUUUGUCCAAUUUCUCUUCUCCGGUAGCCGUAGGAUCUCCCACGCCGAUGACAUGAAUCGUAACACCAUUGUCUUUGGCAAUUCGUGCUGCUUCGGCUGGAGGCACCUUGCUCCCUGUAUCGUUGCCAUCUGUCAGAGCAAUCAUGACCCGUUCGUCCAGCUCGCUGCGCUCGAACAGCGUGAUGCCAAGCCCAAUAGCAUCACCGAAUGCAGUUCGUGGACCUGCCAUCCGAACUGCUGUCUCGUCGAGAAGAAUUCGACAGGCCUCCAGAUCUUGCGUAAAAGGCACUUGCACAAAGGCGGCAUUACCAAAGAUGAUUAGAUACCA
This 411-nucleotide ribosomal RNA is filed under the name uncultured eukaryote. Its description in RNAcentral is "partial 18S ribosomal RNA". The record is from RNAcentral.